RNAcentral lists this ribosomal RNA (776 nucleotides) under Acanthonchus tridentatus. RNAcentral's name for it is "partial large subunit ribosomal RNA". It matches the Rfam family "Eukaryotic large subunit ribosomal RNA", at positions 343 to 965 of the family's 3401-position model. Lineage: Eukaryota; Metazoa; Nematoda; Chromadorea; Chromadorida; Cyatholaimidae. The record is from RNAcentral.
AACAAGUAACCCGGAGGGAAAGUUGCAAAGUACUUUGAAGAGAGAGUUCAAGAGGGCGUGAAACCGCUUGGAAGGAAACGGGUGGACCUGGCGUUAGUCUGUUGGAUUCAAUCCUGAAUUGUCGGCGUUUAAGGGACGUAAGCCCUGUGACUGUCGGCUUGAAGGGUGCAUUUUCAGCGGAUGCGCACUAGGGACAGUUUGACUGCUGUGUGAAGCGGGUGUUGAGGGCUAGCGCUUGCGUUAGUGUCCCGCGCCUGUGAAUCGCGAGUUGGUUGGACUGGCAAACGUUGGUGUGUGCGCUUUUGGCUCGAAAAACCGGUCGCUUGCGGACGGAUGUUAGGUGCUCCCCGCCGGGGACCCGGACGACUGUUUGCUUGCAUGCUGGGGACUCGAGCUCACGCACCACCCUGGUGUACCAGUCAGUUACCCACCUGACCCGUCUUGAAACACGGACCAAGGAGUCUAACAUGUGCGCGAGUUAUUGGGUUGCAAAACCUAAAGGCGUAAUGAGAGUGAAGGCUGGCUCGACUGGCUGAUGUGGGAUCCUGGGGCAACUCAGGCGCACCACAGUCCCGUCUCGUCUGCAUUGUCAGUGAGGCGGAGACAGAGCGUACACGUUGGGACCCGAAAGAUGGUGAACUAUGCCUGAGCAGGACGAAGCCAGAGGAAACUCUGGUGGAGGUCCGAAACGGUUCUGACGUGCAAAUCGAUCGUCAGACUUGGGUAUAGGGGCGAAAGACUAAUCGAACCAUCUAGUAGCUGUUUUUCUUUCCGAA